GGGCCGUUAGCUCAGCGGUAGAGCAGUUGCCUCUUAAGCAAUUGGUCGUGGGUUCGAAUCCCACACGGCCCUCCA
Molecule: transfer RNA, 75 nt
Filed under: Bacillota bacterium
Lineage: Bacteria; Bacillati; Bacillota
Also listed under: 3 other names
Description: tRNA-Lys
Rfam family: tRNA
About the family: Transfer RNA (tRNA) molecules are approximately 80 nucleotides in length. Their secondary structure includes four short double-helical elements and three loops (D, anti-codon, and T loops). Further hydrogen bonds mediate the characteristic L-shaped molecular structure. tRNAs have two regions of fundamental functional importance: the anti-codon, which is responsible for specific mRNA codon recognition, and the 3' end, to which the tRNAs corresponding amino acid is attached (by aminoacyl-tRNA synthetases). tRNAs cope with the degeneracy of the genetic code in two manners: having more than one tRNA (with a specific anti-codon) for a particular amino acid; and 'wobble' base-pairing, i.e. permitting non-standard base-pairing at the 3rd anti-codon position.
Source: RNAcentral